Molecule: long non-coding RNA, 690 nt
Organism: Cynoglossus semilaevis (tongue sole)
Lineage: Eukaryota; Metazoa; Chordata; Actinopteri; Pleuronectiformes; Cynoglossidae
Exons: 3
Source: RefSeq, a predicted model, not a curated record
AGCAGCAGCAGCAACAGCAACAGCAACAGCAGCAGCAGCCGCAGCAACAUUUUCUAUAUGCAGUGUAACCUAAGCCGACGGAGCGUCUCCAGAUAUACCCUCUGAAAGAGUCAACGACGUACAGUUUUCUUGGAAACUGAAGUUGCUGCGCAGCGUACUCAGCUAAGUUCUACUGGAAAACGACCGGCCGGAUCGCAGAGAGUCAGGGUGAAGAGAUGUGGGGCUCUGGCCCAGGAGGGAGGGAGGGGGCAGUCGGUCCUGUCCAGUGUGGCCCCUCUCCUGCGCUGAGGGCCUGCUUCCUGACAGGGAGAAUGACAUCACCAGGGGGGGCCCUUGAUCCCUCUUUUUGGGGAAGCGUUGAAAUUUUGCACACAAAGGCGGCGCAGCGCUGCUAUCUGCACAUCUGAGUGGACGCAGCACUUUUGAAAAUCCCUAACGAGAUUAGAGUUGCAGUGCGAUCAGCUGUCAGUCUGCUCUCACUGGCUGCUUCUCUGAACUCACAUAUAGGAUCUAAGCCCUGCUGAAAUCACAAGCGCUCCACCCCCAAAGACCACAGGACGGAUGGAGUACUGUUGAAUCAAACAAGAGUCACACGUAUGUAUGGUUGAAAAAAGAAAAGAAAAAUACAUUUAAUUCUCAGGGUCCCUGUGACUUCUGACCCAGUCUUUUUUUUUUUUUUUUAAUUUUUCG